Molecule: long non-coding RNA, 408 nt
Organism: Chinchilla lanigera (long-tailed chinchilla)
Lineage: Eukaryota; Metazoa; Chordata; Mammalia; Rodentia; Chinchillidae
Exons: 4
Source: RefSeq, a predicted model, not a curated record
GUGAGCAGCUGACUUCUACCGUGACCUUCUCCCGUGCUAAUUCUGCUUCAGACCCAACAAACUAUGAACUGCAUCUUCUGAAAACGGAAGAUCAAUUAUUCUUGCAUAACAGCUGUGUGAGGAGAAAAGCUUCCAUUCAAGCCUUCCAGUUCUCUAAGCAAUAAUUGUAUCCAUAAACUUCAAAUGCACAUUAUUGGACAAAAGAUUAAACCACUGAAGAAAAUGAAAUAAGUUGUUCGAGUUUUCAAUUGAUUCAGAUGUGUGCCCCAUUGUUUUUAUUUGUGAACCAAAAAUGAUAUUUAAACAUCUUCUGUAAAGAAAACUCUAUGCAUUCAGUCCAAUGUCCUGAGGGGCCAUGGUGUCUACAUCAAAGGAAAAUGUUAAAGAAAGCAUAGUCAAAAAUAAAAC